UACGUAGGGGGCAAGCGUUGUCCGGAAUUACUGGGCGUAAAGCGCGCGCAGGCGGCUCUUUAAGUCUGACGGUGAAAUGCCGGGGCUCAACCCCGUGCCCGCCGCGGAUACUGGAGGGCUGGAGACACGUAGAGGCAAGCGGAAUUCCGGGUGUAGCGGUGGAAUGCGUAGAGAUCCGGAAGAACACCGGAGGCGAAGGCGGCUUGCUGGGCGUAGUCUGACGCUGAGGCGCGAAAGCGUGGGGAGCGAACAGG
This 254-nucleotide ribosomal RNA is filed under the name uncultured bacterium. RNAcentral describes it as "partial 16S ribosomal RNA". It matches the Rfam family "Bacterial small subunit ribosomal RNA", at positions 524 to 776 of the family's 1533-position model. The record is from RNAcentral.